Dermochelys coriacea (leatherback sea turtle) is the source of this 2323-nucleotide long non-coding RNA. RefSeq lists it as uncharacterized. NCBI's taxonomy places the organism in Eukaryota, Metazoa, Chordata, Testudines, Dermochelyidae. The record is from RefSeq and is a predicted model, not a curated record. The transcript has 3 exons.
UAUUUUCUCAUUUUUACCAUAUAAUUAUAAAAUAAAUUAUUUGGAAUAUAAAUAUUGUUCUUACAUUGCAGUGUAUGGUAUGUAGAGCAGUAUAAACAAGUCAUUGCAUGAAAUUUUGGUUUAUACGGACUUUGCUGGGGCUUUUUAUGAAGCCUGUUGCAAAACUAGGCAAAUAUCUAGAUGAGUUGAUGUGCCUCCUGAAAGACCUCUGAGUACCCCCGGGGUACACAUGCCCCUGUUUGGGAACCACUGCUUUAAGCUACUUUUAUGCCUCCAGUAAUCUGGGUCAGCCAGGUAUCUACCUGGGUGCCAGUGUAAAUUAGACCUCAUCAGGCUGCUCUCACUUGCACUGUGCUUCUGGUGACACCACAUGGGAGACAGAGAAUAGUCAGAGGAUAGAUUGUUCGGGCCAUGUUGAUGUACUGCCCUGCCCAAGCCCCAUUGGCUGAAGGGUUUGUAGGGAGUUCUAAUGGCCAAAAAGGCAAGUGAUACAGCAGCCAGCAGAUUACAAACUACACUAAACCUUAAACAAACAAACAAAAGACUGAUUUAUAAAUCCAUCGGACAAUGUGUAAGUGACUUAUUUAUAAUUCAUGACUUUGAAGCCCUUCCGUUACCACAUUCACAAACCCUUCUCUCUCACUUUGAACACGUUGAGUUCUAAAUUUGGAAUGCAUUUCAAAUCUGUUUUUGUUUCCCCUCCGAAUCUGGAUUCAGCAGUAACUGCCAGGAAAAUGUUAUUUAAUUUGCAUCUACUGUCUGAUCGAGUGGCAUUCUUUGUGACUGUACUGAGAUGGAUUGUCUCCUUGAGCUGCAGAGUCUUUUAUCAGUUGGAGUUCAGAGGUUACAUCAAAAAUUGCCUGCCUGCUGCCUCAUGUGACAUUUGAACUCUAAAGGUCAAGAGAUCAUGAGGCCAUAAAGUAAGGCGAAAGCACUAAAGGUGUCAUUCCUAUUGUUCUCAAAGGACAAGAGUUUAAGACAAGAUCACAUGAUUCAUGGGGUAGGGAAGGGUGAGAUAAUGUAAGGGAAGAUCAGGAAAAACAGUGAAUACAUGUUGCAAUUAAGAACCAGUUGGUAUCCAAACUGUAUUACGGAUUUGUUUUGUUUGUGGGAUAUUUUCUGAUCAUUACUGGUACGCUGUUGACUUGAUCUCUGGAGGAAUAGUAAUCUUCCUCUCUCUUUUUUGUGCGUGCGUGUGGAUGGGUAUUUGCGUGGUCCGCAUAAUGAGUGAGAAAGCAUAUACCUCUGUGUUGAGGCACUGCAUGAUAACACUUUGUGUGCAUAUGCAAAGUAUCACCUGUCCAGAGUAGAACAAAUCUGAAAACUCCUCUAGGAUAUAUUUCAUUGUCUCUUACAGUGGGGAAUAAAGGAAAAAAUAUUGCGGCUGGAGUACUGGGAUUAGACUAAGAUGCACCAUCUUCUUACCUUCAGCCAUUGCCACAAGCUACAGCAACCCUGGAGUGACACACUCAGGCAAUGCAUUAUUAGUGGAUUUUUUUUCCAUGUGGGAUGAUGGAGAGCAAGGCGUAAUGCACACUUCAGUGUGCUGGGACGUUUCCCCUGUCAUUUUUAAGGAUGAUCCACAAUGUGUGAAUAUCACCCACAAGUGAGGCCUAAUUACGUUUCUCAAGUGAGCAUGUUGCAUUUUCGAGGAAGUCUUAAACGAGCACUUAAGCUGUAAUGCUUCUGAGCGCACCACUGUGGAUUUUAAGGGUUGCUUUGUAUCCUGAAGACAGUGCUGAGCUACUAGCAGCCUAGUCCCACAAGUACUUUUAUCACAGAGUUAUUAGACCAUUAUGGUCUACGAUUGUCUUUUACUGCCUUUGAUUUCUUCUGUUGUCAGACGUGAGGAAAGUGAUGUGUAAUCUGAUCCAAAAUGCUCUUGUUUGUUUUAAUCUACUGUUUUAAUAUAUUAUGGCUUCCUGCCAUUAAGCUUUUCUGAGAUGGACCCUAGAGUCAUUCGCUGAGGUUUUGUAUGUACAGAAUCUGAAGGGCACUUUUCAGAUGUGCCUGCCCUAUAAUAGGCAGCGCUAAUCUUAUUUUUCUGUGGGUUUUAUGUAUGGCAGGGUGCGUGGGUGUCUGCAUGUGCCAGUGGCUUGAAACAAAGCUACAACAAUAGCCAGACGCUGCCAUCUCUGGUGUCCUACCAUCCUUUGCCAUUAGUGCUGUUACCCAUCCUUAGGCAAUGAACCCAAGGACCCACAAAGGCCAGAUUUUCCAAGUUACGAUACACAACUGGCACAUCUCUAUAUGCCCAACUUAUAGGAACAAAUACGUGGUGAUUCACAAACAUACAAUGGGGUAUGUGUACCCACAGGUAGGC